CCUUAGAGUUUGAUCCUGGCUCAGGAUGAACGCUGGCGGCGUGCCUAAUACAUGCAAGUCGAACGAAUCUCUUUUAGAGAUGAGUGGCGAACGGGUGAGUAAUACAUAGGUAACCUGCCCCUGUGCGGGGGAUAACAGGAGGAAACUCCUGCUAAUACCGCAUAGCCAUGAGCACCGCAUGGAGCUCAUGCCAAAUAUCCUUUAUGGGAUAGCGCAGGGAUGGACCUAUGGCGCAUUAGCUGGUUGGCGGGGCAACGGCCCACCAAGGCAACGAUGCGUAGCCGGCCUGAGAGGGCGGACGGCCACAUUGGGACUGAGACACGGCCCAGACUCCUACGGGAGGCAGCAGUAGGGAAUUUUCGGCAAUGGGGGAAACCCUGACCGAGCAACGCCGCGUGAGCGAAGAAGGCCUUCGGGUCGUAAAGCUCUGUUGUAAAGGAAGAACGGCGCAUACAGGAAAUGGUAUGCGAGUGACGGUACUUUACCAGAAAGCCACGGCUAACUACGUGCCAGCAGCCGCGGUAAUACGUAGGUGGCGAGCGUUAUCCGGAAUCAUUGGGCGUAAAGAGGGAGCAGGCGGCCGCAAGGGUCUGUGGUGAAAGACCGAAGCUAAACUUCGGUAAGCCAUGGAAACCGGGCGGCUAGAGUGCGGAAGAGGAUCGUGGAAUUCCAUGUGUAGCGGUGAAAUGCGUAGAUAUAUGGAGGAACACCAGUGGCGAAGGCGACGGUCUGGGCCGCAACUGACGCUCAUUCCCGAAAGCGUGGGGAGCAAAUAGGAUUAGAUACCCUAGUAGUCCACGCCGUAAACGAUGGUCACUAAGUGUCGGGGGUCAAACCCCGGUGCUGCAGUCAACGCAAUAAGUGACCCGCCUGAGUAGUACGUUCGCAAGAAUGAAACUCAAAUGAAUUGACG
RNAcentral lists this ribosomal RNA (913 nucleotides) under uncultured bacterium. RNAcentral's name for it is "bacterial SSU rRNA". It matches the Rfam family "Bacterial small subunit ribosomal RNA", at positions 1 to 915 of the family's 1533-position model. The record is from RNAcentral.